RNAcentral lists this ribosomal RNA (281 nucleotides) under uncultured bacterium. RNAcentral's name for it is "partial 16S ribosomal RNA". It matches the Rfam family "Bacterial small subunit ribosomal RNA", at positions 26 to 301 of the family's 1533-position model. The record is from RNAcentral.
AGGAUGAACGCUAGCGGCAGGCCUAAUACAUGCAAGCUGAACGGCAAGAUUUGUAGCAAUACGAGUCCUAGAGUAGCGUAAGGGUGCGUAACACGUAUGCAAUCGUGCCCGCAACGAGGAGGAUAGCUUAGCGAAAGUUGAGAUAAGACUCCAUAAGAUCACGAGAGGGCAUCUGAUUGUGAUUAAACUACGAAGGGGUUGCGGAUGAGCAUGCGUCUGAUUAGUUAGUUGGCGGGGUAACGCCCACCAAGACGAUGAUCAGGUAGGGGAACUGAGAGGUU